GUGGGGAAUAUUGGACAAUGGGCGCAAGCCUGAUCCAGCCAUGCCGCGUGAGUGAUGAAGGCCCUAGGGUUGUAAAGCUCUUUCACCGGUGAAGAUAAUGACGGUAACCGGAGAAGAAGCCCCGGCUAACUUCGUGCCAGCAGCCGCGGUAAUACGAAGGGGGCUAGCGUUGUUCGGAUUUACUGGGCGUAAAGCGCACGUAGGCGGAUCGUUAAGUGAGGGGUGAAAUCCCGGGGCUCAACCCCGGAACUGCCUUUCAUACUGGCGAUCUUGAGUUCGAGAGAGGUGAGUGGAAUUCCGAGUGUAGAGGUGAAAUUCGUAGAUAUUCGGAGGAACACCAGUGGCGAAGGCGGCUCACUGGCUCGAUACUGACGCUGAGGUGCGAAAGCGUGGGGAGCAAACAGG
RNAcentral lists this ribosomal RNA (405 nucleotides) under uncultured bacterium. RNAcentral describes it as "bacterial SSU rRNA". It matches the Rfam family "Bacterial small subunit ribosomal RNA", at positions 354 to 776 of the family's 1533-position model. The record is from RNAcentral.